Rhineura floridana is the source of this 1515-nucleotide long non-coding RNA. RefSeq lists it as uncharacterized. The record is from RefSeq and is a predicted model, not a curated record. The transcript has 3 exons. Lineage: Eukaryota; Metazoa; Chordata; Lepidosauria; Squamata; Rhineuridae.
GUAGACAAGGAUCCUUAUUCUGCUUAGGAUACUUUCUCUCUCCCAUGCAGGCAUCUUAAUCGUGAUGAUCUCCAUGAAGGCUCAGAGACAUCCUCCUCCUUUACUUUGUGUUUAAAAUUGUGACAUUAGCACCAUCUUUCUCUUCUUUCAUCUGAAAUUUAUUGACCUGGACAUUUCAGAAAGCUUCAGAAGAGUCUUGAGAACAAGCUUUCAGAGAUUCAGAAAUAGAUUGAAGAAAAGAGAGGCGGAGAUGCACUGGAACUGACACAACAGUUGCUGGACGGGGAUGGAGCAGUUUCACAGCCUACUCUGCAGCCAUGGCAUGAUCUUCUAGGCUGGUCGUGGGGCUGCAAACGCACAUUGGUUCACAGCCAGGCCUCUGAUGGUGGGCCACAGUUGGUGGCUGGGUCGACAGAGUAUGCACUGGGGAUGGUCUCCUAUCCAUGUUGUUCCAGCAGGGUUCAGUGCGGAAGGUCCCACAAGUGGUGGUCAUUCCCCGGGGUGGGAAUGACCUUGGUUACUCAAGGGCAAGGCCCUCAGUGGCAGGCAUGUGAGGACAUGCAGUUGAGGCCACGAUAGCCUCUGGUCGUCUGCUGUGGUCAGACAUGGAAGGGUCAUUCCCCUGGGUGGGAAUUGCCUUGGUUACUGAAGGGCAAGACAGGUGAGGACAUGCAGUUGAGGCCACAAUAGCCUCUGGUCGUCUGCUGUGGUCAGACAGGGAGGGCAAGGCCCUCAGUGGCAGGCAUGUGAGGACAUGCAGUUGAGGCCUCGGUAGCCUUGGGUCGUCUGCUGUGGUCAGACAUGGAGGGCAAGGCCCUCAGUGGCAGGCAUGUGAGGACAUGCAGUUGAGGCCUCGGUGGCCUUGGGUCGUCUGCUGUGGUCAGACAUGGAGGGCAAGGCCCUCAGUGGCAGGCAUGUGAGGACAUGCAGUUGAGGCCUCGGUAGCCUUGGGUUGUCUGCUGUUGUCAGACAUGGAGGGCAAGGCCCUCAGUGGCAGACAUGCUUGACAUGCAGUUCGGGAGGCAACAAUGCCAUCCUCCUGAUGGACCUGCAGAGGGGUCUGCAUAAGAUUCUUAUCGGGUGUGGGGUAAAGGGAGACUAAGCAGAGGCUUGUCCCCCUUUUGUGGCAAAGAAGUGCGUGAAAAGGUUUAAAGGGAAAGGGCAGCUAGGUGACACCUUUAGGCACCUUUGGGGGCGAUUGGCGGUCCGGGGGCCUGCAGCUCAGGCCUAUACGGCCCGGGGGGCAGAACACGGGCCGCCUUUGGGGCCAACGUGCCUCAUCCGCUCGGAGAUUCACGGCUCCGGGGGGCGGUGAUGCAGGUUGGACCCCCUACACAUCUUCAGGGUGUGGCUUGAGCUGGGGUCUGGCACAGGGCAGCCCCGGGCUCAGGCAAGGUUUGGUCGCCCUAUGGCUGCGAGCAGGCUUUGCCUGGAUCAUCAGAAUGCUGCCGCACUUGAUUUCCCCUCUGCAGGUUCAUUAUUCUAAUUGAUUCCGUUUAAUAAAGUGGCCCAUGA